RNAcentral lists this ribosomal RNA (500 nucleotides) under uncultured bacterium. RNAcentral describes it as "partial 16S ribosomal RNA". It matches the Rfam family "Bacterial small subunit ribosomal RNA", at positions 30 to 523 of the family's 1533-position model. The record is from RNAcentral.
AUUGAACGCUGGCGGCAUGCUUUACACAUGCAAGUCGAACGGUAACAGGGUGCUUGCACCGCUGACGAGUGGCGAACGGGUGAGUAAUGCGUCGGAACGUGCCGAGUAGUGGGGGAUAACGCAGCGAAAGUUGUGCUAAUACCGCAUACGUACUGAGGUAGAAAGUGGGGGACCUUCGGGCCUCACGCUAUUCGAGCGGCCGACGUCUGAUUAGCUAGUAGGGGAGGUAAAGGCUCACCUAGGCGACGAUCAGUAGCGGGUCGGAGAGGAUGAUCCGCGCGACUGGGACUGAGACACCGACCAGACUCCUACGGGAGGCAGCAGUGGGGAAUUUUGGACAAUGGGCGAAAGGCUGAUCCAGCCAUGCCGCGUGUCUGAAGAAGGCCUUCGGGUUGUAAAGGACUUUUGUCAGGGAGGAAAUCCCUAGUGCUAAUAACACUGGGGGAUGACAGUACCUGAAGAAUAAGCACCGGCUAACUACGUGCCAGCAGCCGCGGUAA